This 49-nucleotide ribosomal RNA is filed under the name Colletotrichum gloeosporioides. RNAcentral's name for it is "partial 28S ribosomal RNA". Lineage: Eukaryota; Fungi; Ascomycota; Sordariomycetes; Glomerellales; Glomerellaceae. The record is from RNAcentral.
AAAGGUUGACCUCGGAUCAGGUAGGAAUACCCGCUGAACUUAAGCAUAU